GGCCGGUUGGCCCAACGACAAGGCGUCUGACUACGAUUCAUCGUGUCAUCAGGAGAUCCUGGGUUCGGCCCCCAGGCUGGUCG
This 83-nucleotide transfer RNA is filed under the name Colletotrichum cereale. RNAcentral describes it as "tRNA-Arg". The record is from RNAcentral. Lineage: Eukaryota; Fungi; Ascomycota; Sordariomycetes; Glomerellales; Glomerellaceae.